RNAcentral lists this unclassified non-coding RNA (405 nucleotides) under soil metagenome. RNAcentral describes it as "partial contains 5.8S ribosomal RNA, internal transcribed spacer 2, and large subunit ribosomal RNA". The stretch from base 1 to 121 matches the Rfam family "5.8S ribosomal RNA", at positions 35 to 154 of the family's 154-position model. The record is from RNAcentral.
GAUGAAGAACGCAGCGAAAUGCGAUAAGUAAUGUGAAUUGCAGAAUUCAGUGAAUCAUCGAAUCUUUGAACGCACCUUGCGCCCUUUGGCCAUUCCGAAGGGCAUGCCUGUUUGAGUAUCAUGAACACCUCAACCCUUUAUGGUUUUCCAUGAUGAGCUUGGACUCUGGGGGUUUUGCUGGCUCACAGUCGGCUCCUCUAAAAUGAAUCAGCUUACCAGUGUUUGGUGGGUAUCAUGGGUGUGAUAACUAUCUACGCUUGUGGUUUUUCCACCAGGUAACCUUCAGCAGUGGAGGUUCGCUGGAGCUCAUAGAUGUCUCUCCUCAGUGAGGACAGCCCUUUGAAUGUUUGAUCUCAAAUCAGGUAGGACUACCCGCUGAACUUAAGCAUAUCAAUAAGCGGAGGA